This 237-nucleotide ribosomal RNA is filed under the name uncultured Actinomycetales bacterium. RNAcentral describes it as "partial 16S ribosomal RNA". It matches the Rfam family "Bacterial small subunit ribosomal RNA", at positions 97 to 334 of the family's 1533-position model. The record is from RNAcentral. Lineage: Bacteria; Bacillati; Actinomycetota; Actinomycetes; Actinomycetales.
GGCGAACGGGUGAGUAUCACGUGAGGAACCUGCCCUGAACUCUGGGAUAAGCCUGGGAAACUAGGUCUAAUACCGGAUAGGACUGAUCAUCGCAUGGUGGUUGGUGGAAAGCUUUUUGCGGUUUGGGAUGGUCUCGCGGCCUAUCAGCUUGUUGGUGGGGUAAUGGCUUACCAAGGCUUUGACGGGUAGCCGGCCUGAGAGGGUGUACGGCCACAUUGGGACUGAGAUACGGCCCAG